UAGCUCACGACGCCUUGCUUAACCACACCCCCACGGGAAACAGCAGUGACAAAAAUUAAGCCAUAAACGAAAGUUUGACUAAGUUAUAUUAAUUAGGGUUGGUAAAUCUCGUGCCAGCCACCGCGGUCAUACGAUUAACCCAAGCUAACAGGAGUACGGCGUAAAACGUGUUAAAGCACCAUACCAAAUAGGGUUAAAUUCUAACUAAGCUGUAAAAAGCCAUGAUUAAAAUAAAAAUAAAUGACGAAAGUGACCCUACAAUAGCCGACGCACUAUAGCUAAGACCCAAACUGGGAUUAGAUACCCCACUAUGCUUAGCCCUAAACACAGAUAAUUACAUAAACAAAAUUAUUCGCCAGAGUACUACUAGCAACAGCUUAAAACUCAAAGGACUUGGCGGUGCUUUAUAUCCUUCUAGAGGAGCCUGUUCUAUAAUCGAUAAACCCCGAUAAACCUCACCAAUUCUUGCUAAUACAGUCUAUAUACUCGCCAUCUUCAGCAAACCCU
Molecule: ribosomal RNA, 507 nt
Filed under: Bos taurus (domestic cattle)
Lineage: Eukaryota; Metazoa; Chordata; Mammalia; Artiodactyla; Bovidae
Description: similar to 12S ribosomal RNA
Rfam family: Bacterial small subunit ribosomal RNA
Source: RNAcentral